GCUUCACUAGACUGUGCUGUUUUACAUUUUCCUUUGUUUGUCAGAAAGUAUGCUGAGCAUGCUGUGUUUUUGUCUCGUUUCCUCAGCGUGUUCUCGAGGCGUGACGACCAGCAGAUGGAGCCAAAGACCACACAAACGCACACUGGCGGCUUCUAUGGAACAUUCACCGAGAGGUGGGUCUGGACCAUCCCCUGUGAUAAAUGGAGUUCACUGUAUUGAAAUCUGCUUGCUGCCACUUCAACCAUAUUCUACUGAGCAGCCAGGACAGAGAAAGACAGAAAUAGAGGGUCCCAAAAUGAAAUUUUGCCUCUGGCUCCAUGGAGGCGUGUGCCAGCUCUAAAAGUGUGUCUCAACGGAAUUCCCGGUGGCAACGCUGGUGCGGCUUACAGAUGAAAGAUGCAUUUCAAUAAAAC
This is a long non-coding RNA of Phyllopteryx taeniolatus (common seadragon), 413 nucleotides long. RefSeq lists it as uncharacterized. The transcript is spliced from 3 exons. The record is from RefSeq and is a predicted model, not a curated record. NCBI's taxonomy places the organism in Eukaryota, Metazoa, Chordata, Actinopteri, Syngnathiformes, Syngnathidae.